CAGUAGCCGCGGGAAUACGGAGGGGGCUAGCGUUAUUCGGAAUUACUGGGCGUAAAGCGCACGUAGGCGGCUUCGCAAGUCAGAGGUGAAAGCCUGGGGCUCAACUCCAGAAUUGCCUUUGAGACUGCGUCGCUCGAAUCCGGGAGAGGUGAGUGGAAUUCCGAGUGUAGAGGUGAAAUUCGUAGAUAUUCGGAAGAACACCAGCGGCGAAGGCGGCUCACUGGACCGGCAUUGACGCUGAGGUGCGAAAGCGUGGGGAGCAAACAGGAUUAGAUACCCCGGUAGUCCCUGUCUCUUAUAC
This 301-nucleotide ribosomal RNA is filed under the name uncultured bacterium. RNAcentral describes it as "partial 16S ribosomal RNA". It matches the Rfam family "Bacterial small subunit ribosomal RNA", at positions 509 to 807 of the family's 1533-position model. The record is from RNAcentral.